ACAAAUGCAGAGUGAUGUUCCUUCUGCUCUGGUAGCAAAAGCUGUGGAACGAAUUUUGCUAUGACACGUUUCAUGCAAGAUCCUGUGUUAAAAUCUCAGACACAGCAGUUUUUGGAAUCCCCAGAUCAGCUUCUAGUCCUCCCACUGUCAGUUGCUGAUCUUUGUUGAUUGCGGGCCGUAC
Phyllostomus discolor (pale spear-nosed bat) is the source of this 181-nucleotide long non-coding RNA. RefSeq lists it as uncharacterized. The record is from RefSeq and is a predicted model, not a curated record. NCBI's taxonomy places the organism in Eukaryota, Metazoa, Chordata, Mammalia, Chiroptera, Phyllostomidae. The transcript is spliced from 3 exons.